Long non-coding RNA from Oncorhynchus tshawytscha (Chinook salmon), 4217 nucleotides. NCBI's taxonomy places the organism in Eukaryota, Metazoa, Chordata, Actinopteri, Salmoniformes, Salmonidae. The record is from Ensembl.
UAUAAACACGUUCUCUGCUAAAUGCAGCAUCUGCCAAAUCUUCCAAAAGAGCAAGAUGAUUCGAUUUCCCAUUAUCUCAGUGUUUUAUAGUGUUUACACAAUGGCUUCAUUUUAACACAUCAAAUCAAAUGUAUUUAUAAAGCCCUUCUCACAUCAGCUGAUGUCUCAAAGUGCUGUACAGAAACCCAGCCUAAAACCCCAAACAGUAAGCAAUGCAGGUGUAGAAGCACGGCAUGGUCAUGCUACUACAGUAAUAAAUUACUGUACUUUAUAUAGAUUAUUAUUGUAACAAAUGUACUGAUGUGAUCAAAUGAUGAUAUAGCCUGUCAAGAUAUGUUACAUGAAUUCACAAUAGAAUUAUAAUAAAAUGAAACAUUUAUUGAAUUAUUACUCUCACAAUUUCACACAUUUUCAACAUAUAGUUUCCCCAUUUGACGCUUGACAAGCAGUUCCCUUAUUCCACCACUAUGCCUAUGCAUGGUCAUGGCUGUACGUACAUUUACGCACACUCAAGCAAAUGUUCAUAUUGAUAAGUUUCACACAUUGCGUAGAAAUGAUCCCAUGCAUGGUUUACGCACAGAUAUGUGCCUGAUUGAUAAAUGAGGGCCUAGGUGUGAUGAAUUUAGGAAAUCACUGAACGAUUCAAUUGCUCCGUGUGGUGCCUAGUUGGGACAAAAUCCUACAGUACCUGCAGCUCUCCAGAAACCGGGUUGUCUCCUCCUGGUCAACAGGGUUAUGGUUAGGUCUGGUACUCUACAGGGUUAUGGUUAGGUCUGGUACUCUACAGGGUUAUGGUUAGGUCUGGUACUCAACAGGGUUAUGGUUAGGUCUGGUACUCUACAGGGUUAUGGUUAGGGUUAUGGUUAGGUCUGGUACUCUACAGGGUUAUGGUUAGGGUUAUGGUUAGGUCUGGUACUCUACAGGGUUAUGGUUAGGUCUGGUACUCUACAGGUUUGUCUCCUCCUGGUCUAGAGGUUUAUGGUUAGGUCUGGUGCUCUACAGGGUUGUCUCCUCCUGGUCUAGAGGGUUAUGGUUAGGCCUGGUACUCUACAUGAUUGUCUCCUCCUGGUCUAGAGGGUUAUGGUUAGGCCUGGUACUCUACAGGGUUAUGGUUAGGCCUGGUACUCUACAGGGUUAUGGUUAGGUCUGGUACUCUACAGGGUUAUGGUUAGGUCUGGUACUCUACAGGAUUGUCUCCUCCUGGUCUAGAGGUUUAUGGUUAGGUCUGGUACUCUACAGGGUUGUCGCCUCCUGGUCUAGAGGGUUAUGGUUAGGUCUGGUACUCUACAGGGUUAUGGUUAGGUCUGGUACUCUACAGGAUUGUCUCCUCCUGGUCUAGAGGUUUAUGGUUGGGUCUGGUAUUCUACAUAGAGCUCUAGAGAGACAGAGAGCUUUGUCAUCUGGGUUUUUAUUGGUUCUUUUAGGAUCAGGCAGUUUAUUUUCAGAGACAUUUACAUCAUACAGUAUAAUUUACAUUAAUAUAGAUAAAAUAACAUAAAUUACACUAAUAUAGAUAAUCUAACAUCAUUAGAUAUAUCAUGUUGCAUACACACAGGGCCAAUCUAAAAUGGCACCAAACUCCUCUACAGAGCCCUGUUCCCUUCAUAGUACACUACUAUAGACCAGAGCCCUGUUCCCUUCAUAGUGCACUACUUUAGACCAGAGCCCUGUUCCCUUCAUAGUGCACUACUAUAGACCAGAGCACUGUUCCCUUCAUAGUGCACUACUUUAGACCAGAGCCCUGUUCCCUGUCAUAGUACACUACUAUAGACCAGAGCCCUGUUCCCUUCAUAGUGCACUACUAUAGACCAGAGCCCUGUUCCCUUCAUAGUGCACUACUAUAGACCAGAGCCCUGUUCCCUUCAUAGUGCACUACUUUAGACCAGAGCACUGUUCCCUUCAUAGUGCACUACUAUAGACUAGAGCCCUGUUCCCUUCAUAGUGCACUACUAUAGACCAGAGUCUUAUGGAACCCUACUCCCUUCAUAGUGCACUACUUUAGACCAGAGUCCUAUGGAACCCUACUCCCUUCAUAGUGCACUACUUUAGACCAGAUGUAUUAGACAGCUUUGGGAGACUUUGGCCCAAAGUAAUUGACUAUAGUGUUGUAAUAGUGCUCACUAUAGGGAAUAGGUUGACGCCAGCCGCUCCUCAUUCACUCAGCCUAUUGAGUCCACUGAUCCCACUCACACAGAACUACCUUACGCUUUGGCCUCUUUCUCCCCUCUCUCUCCAGAUAAAAUCCUGCGACUAGUGAUGUCCGUCCGCCCGACAUCCUGCCUGCUCAACCCUUCCUCCCUUCUCCACACCAUCUCUGGAGACCUCCUCUUCCUCACUUCCCUCAUCAACUCAUCCCCAUCCCCUCCUCCCUUCUCCACACCAUCUCUGGAGACCUCCCCUUCCUCACUUCCCUCACCCCCAUCCCCUCCUCCCUUCUCCACACCAUCUCUGGAGACCUCCUCUUCCUCACUUCCCUCAUCAACUCAUCCCCAUCCCCUCCUCCCUUCUCCACACCAUCUCUGGAGACCUCCCCUUCCUCACUUCCCUCACCCCCAUCCCCUCCUCCCUUCUCCACACCAUCUCUGGAGACCUCCUCUUCCUCACUUCCCUCAUCAACUCAUCCCCAUCCCCUCCUCCCUUCUCCACACCAUCUCUGGUGACCUCCCCUUCCUCACUUCACUCAUCAACUCAUCCCUGACCACUGACUUCAAGAUGGCCCGAGUCGCUCCUCUCCUCAAGAAACCAACACUCGACCCAUAUACUGUAUACUGUUAUCUUCAUGUAUAGAUGAUACUGUAUAUAUCCCCAUGUUAACAUGCUAUAUAUACUGUUAUAUUCAUGUAUCGAUGAUAUACACUCUCCGGCCAGUUUAUUAGGUCCGCCGCCCAUUUCACAAAACUGGGUUACAGACAGUGAGUUGUGUGGCUGUGUCUUGCUAUAUAAAGCAGGCAUCGAGGCAUUCAGUUACUGUUCAACUGAAUGUUAGAAUGGGCAAAACUAUGUGCCAAGCGCGCCAAAUUCAGUAUCUCAGAAAACAGUUUGUUGAUGAGCGAGGUCCAAGAAGAAUCUGUCUGUCUGUCUCUGUCUGUCUGCCUGAAAUUUUUCCUGUCUGUCUGCAUAUCUGCCUGUCUGCCUGUCUAUCUGUCUGUCCAUCUAUCUGCCUGCCUGCCCGUCCGUCCGUCUGUCUGUUCGUUUAUCUGCCUGUCUGCAUAUCUUCCUCUCCAUCUGUCCAUCCAUCUAUCUGCCUAUCUGUCUGCCUAUCUGUCUGCCUGUCUGUCUGUCUGCCUAUCUGUCUGCCUGUCUGUCUGCCUGCCUGUCUGUCUGUGGUCUGCUAUAGAAACAUGCAGUUAAUACAUAGAGGAAGCCAUAUAUGAUGAAUGUCUACCUGCCUGCCCGCCUGCCUGUCCAUCUAUCUGCCUGCCUUUUAACAUAUAUAUUUUUUACCCCCUUUUCGUGGUAUCCAAUUGGUAGUUACAGUCUUGUCUCAUCGCUGCAACUCCCAUACGGACUCGGGUGAGGUGAAGGUCGAGAGCCGUGCGUCCUCCGAAACACAACCCAACCAAGCCGCACUGCUUCUUGACACAAUGCCCACUUAACCCGGAAGCCAGCCGCACCAAUGUGUUGGAGGAAACAAUGUACACCUGGCGACCAUGCACUGCACCCAGGAGUCGCUAGUGCGCUAUGGAACAAGGACAUCCCUGCCGGCCAGCUGCAACAGAGCCUGGACUGGAACCCAGAAUCUCUAGUGACACAGCUAGCACUGUGAUGCAGUGCCUUAGACCACGGCGCCACUCUGGAGGCCUGUCUGUGUGUCUGCGUGUCCGUCAGUCUCCGUGCCCGCCUGUCUACCUGUCCGCGUGUCCGGCUGUCUGCCUGUCUACCUGUCUGCGUGUCUGCUUGUCUGCGUGUCUGCCUGUCUACCUGUCUGCGUGUCUGCCUGUCUACCUCUCUAACUGUCUGCCUGUCUACCUGUCCGCAUGUCCAGCUGUCUGCCUGUCUACCUGUCUGCGUGUCUGCCUGUCUACCUGCCGCGUGUCCGGCUGUCUACCUGUCUGCCUGUCUGUCUGUGUGUCCGUCAGUAUGCGUGUCUACCUGUCUGCGUGUCUACCUGCCUGCGUGUCUGCCUGUCUGCGUGUCUGCCUCUGCGUGUCUACCUGCCUGCGUGUCUGCCUGUCUGUGUGUCUGCCCUGUCUGCCUGUCUGUCUGCCUGUCUGCGU